RNAcentral lists this long non-coding RNA (988 nucleotides) under Macaca mulatta (Rhesus monkey). RNAcentral's name for it is "lncRNA (ENSMMUG00000056829.1)". The record is from RNAcentral. Lineage: Eukaryota; Metazoa; Chordata; Mammalia; Primates; Cercopithecidae.
AUGAGUAUGGUGAAUAGGGUAGAAGGAACACUUAAGGAACUCUCAAGACUAAAGCUGCAAAAUUCUUCUUGCAGGCAUCCCAAAGACAUCACUCAGGACAUUGAUCAAGAAUUAACAAGGGAAUUGUGGCAGGAGGAAGAUCAAAUGAAAUGGUCGGACAUCAGCAUUAUGAAAGUCAGGGUUCUUCAUUGCCAGUCAUGGAAUCUAUUCUAUUUGGUUUAAAUAGGAAGUGGAUUAUUAAAAGACAUUAGAACGCUCACUGAGUCUUUGGAAGAAGUGAAGAAACAGGCUCUGGAGUGAGCUUCCACAGUCCGCAGAACCUCAAUGCAGAAGUGGCAGGGAAGGAAAUGGCUCUUCCUCACAAUUCCAAAACCAUGUUGGCUUUCCCACCAUCUGUGCCUGCAAAAUUGAUGUCCUGCACCCCACCUGCUUCUUCAUAUGCAUCACUUCUGUAUCUGCAUCUCUGUAUAUGCAUCUGAUUAGCAGAACCCAAGUCACAUGACUGCACCCUGGCGGCAAAGAAACUGAGAAAUGUGGGAGCUUUGCUUGCUAUCUUGGGAAGAUGGGAUUCACACCACAGGGAACCAUCAUAAUGUAGAAGGAGUAUUAAAAGAUUUGGCGAACAGGGUAAACUAAAAUGAUUUGACUUUAAAAGGCUCCAACCCUUGAUUAAUUGUACCAAUCUGCCCUUAGCAUAAUGUUUUCAGCCAUCAGGUAGAUGUGGGCCUGAGCAUCAGCUUCAGCAUGCCUGCUCCAAACAUUAGUCAUUUCUCCACUAAAUAUCUCAUCAGGGAAAAGAAUUAUCACAUACUAAACACAUUCUAUAUGCUAGACACUGUACUAAAUGCUUUAUGUGCAUUAUGUAUUUAAUCUCCUCAAUAACCCCACUUCAAGGGCAUAAUUCCCAUUUUACAAGUAGAAAAAUAAGUGCUGAGAAAUUGAAUAGUUUUUCUCAAAGUCACACAGUAAGAUGGGGCAAAGAUUUAAU